AUGUUGGAGAAACCUCUAAGUGGGUGCCAUUAUAGAUGGAUUUGGAAAGCCAAGAUCCCUCUUAAGAUCAAAAAAAUUCUGUGGCAAAUGUCGCAAGACACAGUCCUUACUAGGCAAGUGAUGAGCAAACGGAAAUGGACAGGGAAUCCCUGUUGCUUUUUCUGCAAACAGAUAGAAACGGUGCAACAUCUGUUCUUUACCUGUCCUGUGGCCAGAAUUGUCUGGCGAUCUAUUGGAGUAGUUCUUGGCACUGAUAGAUGUCCGUCGAACUAUUGGCAAUACUUUGUGUGGUGUCACAAAUUCCUUCCUGGGAAGCAAAAGUUUUAUACAGUGGGCUUAGCGGCCGUAUGCUGGGCCAUUUGGCUGGCACGCAAUCGAGCUACUUUUGAAAAGAAACAAAUUAAGACUCCCUUUGAGAUUGUGUUUUCUCUCUGCUCUUUUCUACUCUACUGGACAGGGCUACAACAAGGAGAGGACGCCAAGGAGCUUCGCGCUGGAGCUGAGAUGAUCAGGACUGGCACAAUGCAGUUGAUGAAGAUGUGUGGUGCUGUCAAGCAACCAAUCCAAGGUGCCUGA
Molecule: ribosomal RNA, 576 nt
Filed under: Triticum aestivum (bread wheat)
Lineage: Eukaryota; Viridiplantae; Streptophyta; Magnoliopsida; Poales; Poaceae
Description: partial small subunit ribosomal RNA
Source: RNAcentral